This 502-nucleotide ribosomal RNA is filed under the name uncultured bacterium. Its description in RNAcentral is "partial 16S ribosomal RNA". It matches the Rfam family "Bacterial small subunit ribosomal RNA", at positions 28 to 523 of the family's 1533-position model. The record is from RNAcentral.
GAUGAACGCUAGCGGCAGGCCUAACACAUGCAAGUCGAGGGGCAGCACAGAAACAGCAAUGUUUUGGUGGCGACCGGCGGACGGGUGCGUAACGCCUAUGCAACCUACCUUUAACAGGGGGAUAACGGAGAGAAAUUUCCACUAAUACCCCAUAACAUCGAUCAAGGCAUCUUGAUUGGUUGAAAACUCCGGUGGUUAAAGAUGGGCAUGCGUUGUAUUAUGUAGUUGGUGAAGUAAUGGCUCACCAAGCCUACGAUACAUAGGGGGACUGAGAGGUUAGCCCCCCACACUGGUACUGAGACACGGACCAGACUCCUACGGGAGGCAGCAGUGAGGAAUAUUGGUCAAUGGGGGCAACCCUGAACCAGCCAUGCCGCGUGCAGGAAGACGGCUCUAUGAGUUGUAAACUGCUUUUAAACAGGGAUAAAGCACAGUAUGUAUACUGUGUUGAAGGUACUGUAAGAAUAAGGAUCGGCUAACUCCGUGCCAGCCGCCGCAGUAA